Molecule: long non-coding RNA, 4166 nt
Organism: Pipra filicauda (Wire-tailed manakin)
Lineage: Eukaryota; Metazoa; Chordata; Aves; Passeriformes; Pipridae
Exons: 2
Source: RefSeq, a predicted model, not a curated record
UCCCUGUGUGCUCUGUGUGUGCUCCCUGUGUGCUCACUGGGGCCAUACCCCCUCACUGGGGCUGUCAAAAAAAUGAUGAAAGAUGUUUUUGGGCUGAUUUAAAAUGUUCUGCAGAAUGAGGUGUUUUCUUAGCUCUGGUUUUACAUGCGGGGGCCAGAGAAGGGAAGAAGUUGGGCUGGUUUCAUUCCCCAGACAAAAAAGAAAAAAGGUUUUUGGGGAAAAAACUGGCAGUUUAAACAACAUCUCUUUCAGUGACACGAGAGAAGUGAAUCACAGAACAAUAGAAACACAGAAUUGCUUAGGUUGGAAAAACCUUUAAGAUCAUUGAGUCAAACCAUUAACUUAGCACUGCCAAGGCCACCACUAACUGGUGUCCCUUGGCACCACAUCUACGCGUCUGUUAAAUCCCUCCAGGAAUCAGAGAGUCACAAAAUGGUGUGGGUCAGGAGGGACCUUAAAGCCCAUCCAGUUCAACCUUGGUCUAGAAGGAAGACUCCUUCCACUAGACCACAUUGCUCCAAGCCCUGUGAAACUUGGCCUUGAACACUUUCAAUAUUAUUUUCUCCAGAGUUCUUCCUGCAAUUUGGUUCUGAGGGUUUUUGUCCAUCAACAAGCAACACUUUGUUCUGAGAUACCCACACAGAGCAUUUCUAACCAAAGUGGCACUACCUGUGAGCAGGUCUGCAGGAGAGGGGCCUUGCUGCCAGGGGCUCUGGUACUUGUUUCCUCCAUGAGAUUAACUCAUUCGAGGUGCCAAAACACGGCAUAAGUUUCAUUUGUGUGUGUCUGGAUUUGUUGCUUGCAUUCCUCUGAUCCUCCCAGGUGUUUCAGGGCAUGACAGCACUCCUGAGCAUCUGUGGGAUGUGUCGAGGUUUGCAAGGUUUAUUUGUCUUCUGCAGAGAAUUUCCAGAGUAGAAGUGAAAGGCUGUAGCUGUUGUCACAAGUACUGCACUUCCUGAGGUACCAGAGCUGGGGGAGUUUUCAGAGAAAUGUGCCUGACAGCCAGACUGUCUUUAUUGCUGCUUAUUGCUAAAGCAUUGCUAAGCGUGAUGUGACCUGGCUGGAACGAGCAAGGGCUCAGCUCUGAUGGAGGGAAAUGACCAGCUGAAAUGUAGCUCUGCACGGCAGGAAGGUUCCAAAAGGAUGUGAAGACGUGGGGGCAGCGGGACGGGAGCCCAAGGGAGGGGGCGAGGGCGUGUGCUCCCACAGCGGGUGCAGCUGGGGUUAGCUGGGUUUCUCUUCCUUUUUCUGCCUUUCACAAUCCCACUGGGUUUGUGAGGGGGAUGGGGAGCAGGGCUGAGGUGGGAGACAGGUGUCUGGGGGCUAUGAUGUGGCUGAAGGGAUGGAGGACCCUGCUCCUGACUCCCUGUUCCCCAGCCUGUGCCGGUGUCCGGAGUUGCCGGUGUGGGCACAGAAGGGUGAUGGGCUGGUGCAGCCCUGGGGCCCCUCUCCUGGCGUCAGUGGGGCUGCAGGUGCCAGGGGACCACAGCACUGGGGCUGAGCCACAGCUCUGCAGCGGGGAGGCCACGUGCUCAGGGGUGUCCUGAACUGAGCAGAAACUCAAGAAGGGGACAAGAGCAGGUGCAGAUCCCACAUCAGCUGUAACCGGCAGCUCCUCAUUCUGGCCCGACAGAAUCUCAGGCUCGAUGUCACCACUUGGUUUUUUUAAUUGGAAAACUGAAUUAAUCUGAACCAAGCUUCUGGAUUGCUUGCAGAAGGUUUAUUGUUCUCAGUGCAGUUGUCGUUAGCAACUGUACAUUAACACUAAGGGUAUGACUAAUAGAUCUUCUUUGAGUGAUGGCAACGAAGAAGGAAGUGGACAGUGGUCACUGUGAGUGAGAAGUUAUGUGCCCUGCCUGUGCCUGCCAGGCUGAUGCAGGGUGCCAGGAUUUGGCAUGGCAGUAAAAUCACUGAAUACCAGUGAUUUUAUACCACAAAUACCAGAAUGAUCCACCACUGCCCUGGGCAGCCCUGCCAGGGGUUGACUCUUUCCUUUUCCUACCGGCUGUCAUGGGAAGCAGCAUCCUACCACCUGGAAAAGGUGUGUGGUGGGGCAGCGUUGCUGGUGACUGUUCCUCACCUGCACACGCUUCCUCAGUGGGUGUGAUGCCUUGUGAACAGCGAGGCCCCUCAGUGCACCAAGGGCUGUUUGAUCUGGGGAGGUGUUUUUGUCCUCCACGCUGCAGUGACCAGUGCAGUUGGCAGCGCACAGGAGAUGCCAGCACUCUUCAGGAGCAGGGGUCCAUCCUGCUCACUCCUCAGAAGAAGGGGUCUGUCCCAUUCCAGCUGACGGUGGCACCUGCCCACUUGGUCCUGAUUGCCAUCUCCAGGGCUGGGCACCUCUUCCCUGGGCUGCAGGCGUCUGCACUUGGGGCCUCUUCCCAGUGAUGCGAGUGAGUGUCUGAGGAGGAAAUGCUGUUAAAAAAAAAAGUCUAAAAAACCCCAACCCCCCUCAAAAAGGUUUCGGCGAAGGUUAAAAGCAGAAGGUUCUGCAGCCACAUGGGUGCAGAUGUGCUGCUGCCCUGCCCCAGGGAGCUGGGGGAGCCUGGCAGGGCUCCCAGGCCGGGGCUGCCCUGGAGCCGUUGGCCCCCCCGGGAAAUUCCGAGGGUGCUGUUUGCAUGUUUGUUUUCUGAGCAGAUGCACAGAUAAUAUCUGUGGCCAUGCUGGGUUUCAUGAUGGUGGAUCCUGAUUCACCUUUCCUUGCAGAUUUACCCCUUAGUUCCAAGGUUCUGAUCACUUUAACUGCUGCAGUGAAAGGAGAGCGAGGACGAGGGAGGCAUUCAUUGACGAAGCUCCGCCGCCCGCUCCCAGCGCAGGAAGCCCACCGGGCCUCGCUGCCCUCGGGCCUCCCCGGCCCCACCGCCGAGCUCCCGGGGGCUCGCCCGUCCCGUCAGGAGGAGGCUGAGCACGGCCUGCGGGGACAGAGCCCGCGGUCACACCGUGGGGACCGGGGCAAACGCCCUUUGCAGGUGGGGUCCCACUCCCAGCUCUGUCGUGCCUGUCGGGAGCAGGGGGACGCCAGGCUGCAGGUGGCUUUUUUGUUAUUAUUGUUCUUAUCGUCAUCAUCACCAUCAUCAUCAUCACCAUCAUCAUCUGUUUUUUGCAUGCACAGCCAUGAUUAGAAUUUGCAAAAUAUUUUUAUAUGACCUUAUGCCUUUUUUCCUCUGCAUUAAAAAGAGAGAAUUUUUUUCCUAAAUCAAAUGUGGGAAACAUUUGAUUGUGGAUUGUAGCUGAUCCUACCUCUGUGCAGGUGACAUUUCCAGAACUGACGUUCAGCAGAGGAGCUGUGUCACCCAAAUCCUCUUGGACCCUGUACGGCCAAACACAGAACGUCAGGGCAGUGCCAGGCUGGUGCUGGAAGUGAUGCUGCAUGUCCCUGCCUGGCUGAUGGGAAAGGGAGGAAAGGAAAAGCCAUUUCAGAAGAUGUAACCAAACUAAAGGAAAAUAUUUAAAAAGUGAAAUAUACCUUUCAAGUGUCCUAGAGAAAAGUAAACUGUAUAAAAAUAGGAUCACUCCGUGGUUUCCUUCACACCUGAACUGGAAAAAGAAACCAGGGAUCACAGGGAAGAAAUUAUGGCCAGUAAAUCAUGUUUAAUUAAAACAAUUAAUCUGCUUCAAUACAGCCUUAGGUGAGUGUGUUGAGCCAGAUGAGUAAGGUGUUAUUCCAGGAAGAUUUUAUAACUAAUUUUGUUGAAUAGGAUCAGGUAAAAAAAGAAACUUCCAGUUAUUGGCUAAAUGGGUUUUGUACAUUUUUUCCCCCAGAUUUUUGCUGAGGUUGCAAGGAAUCACAUCUUGUAUUUCAGUGAAAUACAAAAUGCUGUCCCAUUUACCCAGUGUUUGUGGGAUGAGAGAGCUGGAAUAGUGGCUAAAGUCCCAGGGAUUUUAGUGGGAGCAGGAUCUCUUCCCAAAGGAAGAUCCAUGAACUUUACUGUAUGUUAACACCAUAUCCUGCUGAUGGUGGCACUUGCCCUCAAAAGGUCUGAUUUGAAUGGGAAAUAAGAUGUAAUUAAGCAAGAAAAUAACUUGGAUAGAGCAAAUAUCCCCACUUACACAGUUUACGUGGUGGGAGAUGAACUCCUGAGCUGCAGCUUUCUCCGAGAACUCAAAGAGCCAGAUCUGUCGGGGAAGGUGGUGUAAAGGAGAUGUGAAUUAUAUAAAAAAGCUGA